CGGGAGGCAGCAGUAGGGAAUCUUCCACAAUGGACGAAAGUCUGAUGGAGCAACGCCGCGUGAGUGAUGAAGGUUUUCGGAUCGUAAAACUCUGUUGUUAAAGAAGAACAAGUGUUAGAGUAACUGUUAACACUUUGACGGUAUUUAACCAGAAAGCCACGGCUAACUACGUGCCAGCAGCCGCGGUAAUACGUAGGUGGCAAGCGUUGUCCGGAUUUAUUGGGCGUAAAGCGAGCGCAGGCGGUUUUGUAAGUCUGCUGUGAAAGCCCUCAGCUCAACUGAGGAAGUGCAGUGGAAACUACAAAACUUGAGUACAGAAGAGGAAAGUGGAACUCCAUGUGUAGCGGUGAAAUGCGUAGAUAUAUGGAAGAACACCAGUGGCGAANGCGGCUUUCUGGUCUGUUACUGACGCUGAGGCUCGAAAGCAUGGGGUAGCGAAACAGGAUUAGAUACCCUGGUAGUCCAUGCNGUAAACGAUGAAUAAUAGGUGUUGGAGGGUUUCCGCCCUUCAGUGCCGCAGCUAACGCAUUAAGUAUUCCGCCUGGGGAGUACGACCGCAAGGUUGAAACUCAAAGGAAUUGACGGGGGCCCGCACAAGUGGUGGAGCAUGUGGUUUAAUUCGAUGCUACGCGAAGAACCUUACCAGCUCUUGACAUCUUCUGCCAACCCAAGAGAUUGGGCGUUCCCUUCGGGGACAGAAUGACAGGUGGUGCAUGGUUGUCGUCAGCUCGUGUCGUGAGAUGUUGGGUUAAGUCCCGCAACGAGCGCAACCCUUAUUAUUAGUUGCCAGCAUUUAGUUGGGCACUCUAGUGAGACUGCCGGUGAUAAACCGGAGGAAGGUGGGGACGACGUCAAAUCAUCAUGCCCCUUAUGAGCUGGGCUACACACGUGCUACAAUGGAUGGUACAACGAGUCGCGAAACCGCGAGGUCAAGCUAAUCUCUUAAAGCCAUUCUCAGUUCGGAUUGCAGGCUGCAACUCGCCUGCAUGAAGUUGGAAUCACUAGUAAUCGUGGAUCAGCAUGCCACGGUGAAUACGUUCCCGGGCCUUGUACAGC
This 1056-nucleotide ribosomal RNA is filed under the name Apilactobacillus kunkeei. RNAcentral describes it as "bacterial SSU rRNA". It matches the Rfam family "Bacterial small subunit ribosomal RNA", at positions 342 to 1389 of the family's 1533-position model. The record is from RNAcentral. Lineage: Bacteria; Bacillati; Bacillota; Bacilli; Lactobacillales; Lactobacillaceae.